This 248-nucleotide unclassified non-coding RNA is filed under the name fungal sp. RNAcentral's name for it is "partial internal transcribed spacer region". The stretch from base 1 to 46 matches the Rfam family "Eukaryotic small subunit ribosomal RNA", at positions 1786 to 1831 of the family's 1831-position model. Lineage: Eukaryota; Fungi. The record is from RNAcentral.
AAGUCGUAACAAGGUUUCCGUAGGUGAACCUGCGGAAGGAUCAUUAUCGAGUAACUAAACGGGGUUGUGCUGGCCCUCUUGGGCAUGUGCACGCCUCUACUCAUCCAUUACACCCCCUUGUGCACCUAGAGGCGACGACCCCCUUGUGAGGUGGUCGCCUUCCUUUAUACACGCUUCAGAAGUCUGUAGAAUGUAACUAGCCUAACGGCGAUAUAAUACAACUUUCAACAACGGAUCUCUUGGCUCUC